CCGACGGUGAGAGACGAAAGCUGGGGGCACGAACCGGAUUAGAUACCCGGGUAGUCCCAGCCGUAAACGAUGCUCGCUAGGUGUCUGGGAUGGUGCGACCGUUUCAGGUGCCGCAGGGAAGCCGUGAAGCGAGACACCUGGGAAGUACGGCCGCAAGGCUGAAACUUAAAGGAAUUGGCGGGGGAGCACUACAACGGGUGGAGCCUGCGGUUUAAUUGGACUCUACGCCGGAAAACUCACCUGGGGC
RNAcentral lists this ribosomal RNA (247 nucleotides) under uncultured archaeon. RNAcentral describes it as "partial 16S ribosomal RNA". It matches the Rfam family "Archaeal small subunit ribosomal RNA", at positions 691 to 937 of the family's 1478-position model. The record is from RNAcentral.